Molecule: long non-coding RNA, 1295 nt
Filed under: Phascolarctos cinereus (koala)
Lineage: Eukaryota; Metazoa; Chordata; Mammalia; Diprotodontia; Phascolarctidae
Description: lncRNA (ENSPCIG00000013308.2)
Source: RNAcentral
CUGGAGGGGUGGAGCAGGGGAGGGGAAGGGGCCGGGAGGCCUCUUUCCCCAACUCCUCCCAAGUAAAACCUUCCAACUAUCCGCUCUGCCCUUGCAGCUCCAAGGGCUCCCGGCAGCGUGGGUGGGUGCGUUGACUGUGUGUGCUUAGUCCACGAAUCAGUAAACAUUUAUUAAGCACCUGCUAUUCGCCGGGCAAGGUGAUAAGUGUUGUGGGGAUGCAACCGCUAAGGCCUGUUGAUUAUUUACAAUCUUACUCUGUAUAUAGCUUGUUUGUGCCCAGUUGUGAGCAGUGUCUCCCCCACCAGACUGUGAGCUCCUUGAAGAGCAGAGACUGUCCUUUACAAGUCUUUUCAUCUGCAGUGCUUAGUACUAUGCCUGACAUGUUGAUCAAAGCAAAAGACGGUCCCUGACCUCAAGGGGCUCACAGUCUUAAUGGAGAGACAAUAUACAGACAAGCCGUGUACAAACAAGAUAAGAUAUAGGAUAAAUUGGAUAUGAUCAACAGGGGAAGGCACUAGGCAUUAAGGGGAGUCCGGAAAGGCUUCCUGUAGAAGAUGGGGUUUUAGCUGGGAUGUGAAAGAAAGCAGGAGAUGGAGAUGAGAACAUUCUAGGCAUGGGGGAAAGCAAGUGAAAACGCAUGGAGGAGAUGGAGUGCCGGGUUCGACUUUAUAGUAAGGUGGCCAGUGUCACUGGAUCAAAGAAUAUUGGGGGAGGGUAAGGGAGAGAGUCAGGUCUAAGAAGACUAGAAACAGGAGAUUUUAUAUAUGAUCCUCGAGGUAAUAGGGAAGGCACUGGUGUGUUUUGAGUAGGGUGGUGAUGACCUGGUCGGACAUGGUUCUGCACUUUAGGAAAAUCACUUUAGUGCACAGGAACACCAACAGGCUCUUGUAGUAGUCUAGGUGUGAAAUGAAGAGGACCUGCAAGAGAAUGGUGGACGAGUCAAUGGAGAGAAGGGGGAGUAGUGUGGAACCAUGGGUAUGCCUCUCUGGCCACCUCUCUAAAGCUGUGGGCAGGGUGUUGUAUGAAUGCUCCGAGGGCCACUCUCUCAUCCCGUUAGAGCUGGUACUGCUCUGCUCUCCCAACGUCCCGGCUCGGCCUGCUUUCCCCUCGCUUGCCCAGCUUUUGCUUUCUUCUUCUUCUGUCUUCCUAGCCCAACAGCAGCCUCCGCAAUGUCUCCCUCGCUUGAUGGUGCUCAGGAAGUCCAGCUGCAGAAUUACAUUAAGAUGGCAGAGUAAGAAGUCUCUAAAGACCCCAUCACCUUAAAAUCCCUUGCAUGACUACUCCGUAAAUGAAGG